GAAAAAUAAUUUUAAGAUAAAAUGUGGACUUAGAUUGCGGUGAUUGUAACUGUUGUGACAUAGUUGAACGGAAGCCUCCGUCAUUCUUCAUAAUGGUCCAUAAAUUGUCUGUGAACUGUAAACUACUAGAACUGCCUAUUUGUUAAUAGAUAAUAACCACGUGCCUUUCUCUUUCAGUCACUGUGGUGUAAAAAAGAAGCUCAACGAGACGUGAAUCCAUGUUAUACACUUAAACGAAGUGCAGUCUUUAUAAAAGUUGAUCUUUUCUCUGAUGGGAGGACUUGUCAGUGAUAGUGGCUGUGUGUACCAUAACAAGUACUGUCAAAGAAUUUUCGUCCUUCGUUUUUACAUAGGUUAGACCACCUCAAUAAAGAAACCGAAGACAAAUAUCAUCCUUGGUGAGGUGAAUAGUAGACAGUGUUCCAAACUAUUCGUAAGAGUUGUCUGCCUUACGGUACCAACAUCUUUUAAUUACACAUAUGUAUUACGGCAGAGGUUUGGUGAGAAGGGGUUUUAAAUCCUGUAAAAUAAAAUAUUUGCAAAAGCUGUCUUCCUUGUGGUAAUAACAUCGUGUCAUGCGCAUGUGUGUUAAGAAAGACAUUUGGUUGCACAAAACGCAUAUGUUUGAAAUUAAAUGUUACUAC
Long non-coding RNA from Pocillopora damicornis (cauliflower coral), 644 nucleotides. The record is from RefSeq and is a predicted model, not a curated record. Lineage: Eukaryota; Metazoa; Cnidaria; Anthozoa; Scleractinia; Pocilloporidae.